RNAcentral lists this non-coding RNA (150 nucleotides) under Rhodococcus sp. (in: high G+C Gram-positive bacteria). The record is from RNAcentral. Lineage: Bacteria; Bacillati; Actinomycetota; Actinomycetes; Mycobacteriales; Nocardiaceae.
GGCAUUCGUUCGUUCGGCGGUAGUGUUCCGUUCGAAGUCGGUCGCGGAGAAGUCCUGUGUCAAUCAGGCGCGGUCCCGCCACUGUGUUCAGGAGACUCUUCGAUCGGAAGAUUCCCCUGUCAGCCAGAUCGCCGCCCGCCUUCGUGUAUC